UCGGGGAGGAAACGAUAUCCCGCGGCCGAGGUCUCGUCGACGGAUCCUCAUGCGCGGGGCGUUUAAGGUUCGGGAUUAACGUUUAAGCGACGAGUUCUCGGCACUCGCCGCUGAAAACACCGGGGAAAACGUGUCUUUCGCCCGCGACACGGGCGUGUGCGAGGGAAGAGGCUACGAGAGACAUACGGAGGGACGUGGAGAGAAAGAGAGAGAGAGAGAGAGAGACAGACACAAGCACCGAUCGAUAAAUACCGAAAAGCAAAGCGGAAAGUGUGGCGGCACGAGUCCUCCGGAGCUGGGAGCGCGGAUCCUGGAGGAGCAACAGCAGCACGGCGAUGUUGCAUGCGUGAUCUCGCCGGUCGUCGAUAGAGCGACGACGUAUACGCUGAUAUCGCCUUCACGCGAUGCACGCGCGCACGCGUGCGUGUCCACGCACAGGCGGGACGACGAGGACGGUGCCGCGCGAUCUUUGUGCUCCGUGAUCGCACCUCCGAAUUUUCCUCAACGGACGUCGUGGAUCUCCGCAGUCGCGGCGUGUCUCUCCCUCCGGUGUUAUCGCGAAAAUCGGCGUCGGGUGCCAUUCGGGUUCCAUGUGCGAUCGAACGUCAAGUGUGAUUUCCGAGGUAUCUCCUGCGGGAUCUCCUCCGGAUAUUUUUCGGACCGACCGACGUUGCACGAAUUAACGCAGCACGGUGUGCCCGAAAUUCUCAGGCGCAAUAAACCCGCACCGCGGACCAGGAACCUUAUUCGUUUGUGUUUGCAUUUGUUCCGGAUGUUCGACGAAAAGAAGUGGUAAACAUAAAUCGUCGCGCCACACGACUCCCGCCGACGCGUCUUGUGACGAAGUGACUGCGGAAUUUUGGACGACGAUGUGGUGAAGCGGAAGCGAGGACGGCUGCUCCAUCGAAAUUCUUAAAAAGGACGGAGAACAAUCAUAGCCAAAGAAGUCUAUAAUUUCAAAAGCGACUUUAAACGAUAAGAGAAAAUAAUACCGAAGCUCAUCUCCGCUUAUUGUAAAUUUUUCACCGUUAACACCUUCGAAAUGCACGUUCUCGACAUUCUAUCUCAGCGGAACUCUCUCCCUAAAUUUUAAUUCUCGUCGAGAGAAGCAGCCACAUUUGCAGAAUCAUGUCUGCUAUCUCGGGAAAGCAGAACGCGCGAUGCUGUGUAUGACCUCGUCGGGAACUGUUGAACGGCCACUGGACGAAAUCGCGGAGUAAUGAUCAACGACGCGCGGCCGAGGCUGGCGAGCACCAUCGCGGGUUACAAUCAGACGAGCCGCACGUGUGAUCGCCGGCACGUGCCUGCAUACGGUGGCAGCGGCGGAUUGUUGCUUCGCAUCGUCCUGAUUUGUUGCUGCGUUACAAUAACCUACAGCUCCAAGUUCAGUAUGUGGCACGGAAAGAGCUUCAAGGAACUCCUGGCAGACCGACCGAAAAACUCACCUCAGCAUUCGCAAAUGGGUUAUUGCGACCUGGACAUAGAGUGCGACUGGUUCUGGAACGAGACUCAUGGUUUCAAGAAAGUCAAGGCGUCGCGCAACGGCUUGCCAAAAUCCUUUCCGACCACGGACGCCAGCAACUCUCCAAAUGGUCACUUUCUGUGGUUCACCGGACGAGGAGGUGCUCAAAUAAGAUCCAAAACGAUACCUCGCACGGGUCCACGUUGCCGCAUCGAAUUUUGGCUUUACAUGGUGGAAAUGGAAGAGGGAUUUAUAAAUCUUGUCAUAUAUCAAAUCGUUAGCAACGUGUCGUCCAUCGCGGUAUCGAAAAGCGGCAAUAACACCGCCAAAUGGCAGAAAAUAAGUUUUUCAUUACGCGCAAUCGAUCAGACCUACAGAAUUUAUUUAGAGGUCUACGGGCCUCUUCCUAAUUCGAGUAUCGGCGUCGACAACAUUCACCUAGUUGAUUGCUUUCCAGAAUCCGUCGGGGAUUGUAGUACCGAGGACAUGUUUCUGUGUAACAACGGCCUUUGCUUAAACAGGACUCGUGUUUGCGAUUUCACGAAGGAUUGCGUCGAUGGCGAAGACGAGGAGCUCGAGUGCGACAAGAUACCGAAGAACGCAAGGUGUAAUUUUGAAAACGGUUGGUGCGGAUGGACGAACGUUCCCGAGCGACCAUUAAAUUGGACCCUUAAUCAAGGUUCCACGCCGACCGAAAGAACAGGGCCCAAUUACGAUCAUACUUAUCGUAACAAAACCGGAACAUAUGCGUUCGUAAAUAUGGCAGGCUAUUCUAAAAAUGUCGCAUAUGGUAGUAAAGGUACCAUCACAAGUCCACUGUAUAAUCCGACACCACCUUACAGCAGCGAUCCUAACAGUUCUUAUUAUCGAUCAUGUCAAGUACGCUUUUUCUAUCACAAACAUGGUCCGCAUAGUGCAUCUCUUGGGCUGUUCUUGGUUCAAGUAAAACCAUAUGGAAAUCAUACCGAAAAUUUAUGGUGGUCCUACGGAGCUAAUAGUGACGCUUGGUACGGCGAAGCGGUUGUUCUACCUAAUAUAAGAUAUAGGUACCAUUUGCAAUUCGAAGCAUCUAGAGGAUAUUCCGCGAAAAGUGAUGUAGCAAUUGAUGAUAUUUCCCUGAGUCGAGAAUGUUUCGGCAUCGGAGUUCCACGAGACAUUGUAGGCAAUUUUAAUUAUUCUAAUCCCAUUAUUGAUUCUGAGAAGAUGCCAUCGCAGCAUCCGGAUUUUGUUAAUGAAACAGUUAUUCGAAUUACUACUUGCGGGGCUACUGGCAGAAAAGGCCCUACUGCCGAAAAAUGCGCUGAAAAAUAUAACGACACAAAUGUAGAAUUAUUCAUGCCGUCGCAAGAGGAAAAAUUGGUUUUUAAUUUAGAAGGAGUCCAACGAUGGACGGCGCCACGUGGUGAAUACUACACUUUAAUCGCCGUCGGGGCAAGAGGAGGAAAAGGCUCGGGUAACGUUGGUAUCACUCUGGGUGCAUUUGUUCGUGGUGUCAUAGAGCUUCAAAAGGGCGACCAGCUAUAUUUCAUGAUGGGUCAAGCGGGAACAGACGCUUGUCCUAAAAAUCUCGGCUUAAAGACAACCACGUGUAAAGAUGAAUCAGUCGAUUUGCAAUCACCGCAGCAGACAUCAUCGAAAGUACGAGAAGUAAAGAAAAUCCAAUUCAAGAAUCCUGGUGGUGGCGGCGGUGGUGCGACUGCUAUCUUCACACUGAAAGCAAAUGGGGAUCUGGAACCCAUCUUAAUCGCGGGUGGUGGCGGUGGUUUGGGAUUAAAUCCUUCUAUGGACAAUGGAUUACAACAUGGACGCGGUCCCUUUCCCGCGGGUAGAUCCGUACCUUCCCCGUCCAAUGUUCCGGAACGCAUGGGUGGACCUGGUGCUAGUUGGAACGGUACAUGGCCUAAUUUUCAACGAAAAACCUGGGGAAUGCCAUUAAUUCAUGGAGGUAUAGGAGGACUUGGUUGUGAAGCCGGAGAUCACGGUGACGGAGGUUUUGGCGGAGGUGGAGGCGGUUGCCAAUCAGGAGGUGGUGGCGGCGGUUACGUUGGUGGUAAUGCUGGACACAAUGAUGGAAGUGGUGAGGGUGGUUACUCAUACGCGAGUCAAAUGCUCACCGAUGUUUACUUCAGAGUUGGAACUCAUUCUGGCCCGGGGGAGGUCUUCAUCAUACCCGCGAUUAGCGGUUGCGGUUGCGAUUACCGCUGCGUCGCGCUUGAUCAGUAUUUGAACGAGACCAACUGCCUCUGUCCUCAGGGUUGGUUACUCAGCAACGAUUCCAAAUCCUGUAUCAUGACUGACGAUUCCAAAGAUAAUAAUCAAACUUAUAUUAUCCAGCUCGUAGUUAUAGGCAGCCUGUUAAUCAUUAUUGGGAUUUGUCUAAUAUCUUAUAAACGAUACCAAAAACAAAAAGCAGUUUCGCAUCGCCGCCAAGUAAUGUUCGGCAACGGCACUGAAUUAGCUGCAUUGCGUCCAGGACACUUGUCGGACACGAUAAUGACCGAGUUCAACCCCAAUUACGAGUUCGCUGGCAAUAUCUAUAGCUUCAAGGACCUACCGCACAUACCCCGUGAAUGUAUUACUUUAGUAAAAGCUCUCGGCCAAGGCGCCUUCGGCGAAGUUUACCAGGGUGUGUACAAAUAUAGACGUAGCGAACAUCCCGUUGCCGUCAAAACGCUACUGUCUUUAUCCACGACACAUGCAGAAGCGGAUUUUAUGAUGGAAGCAUUGAUAAUGAGCAAAUUUAAUCACCCUAACAUAGUACACUUUAUCGGCGUCUCCUUCGACAAACGUCCGAGAUACAUCAUUCUCGAAUUAUUAGCCGGAGGUGACCUGAAAAAUUUCCUGCGCGAAGAACGACCUCGAUCAGACCGGCCUACAUCAUUAACGAUGCUAGAUCUAAUUAUGUGCGGCUACGAUGUCGCGAACGGCUGUAAAUACAUGGAGGAAGCCCGUUUUAUACACCGAGAUAUCGCCGCUAGAAACUGCUUGUUAACUACUAAAGCACCGGGCCGUACUGUUAAGAUCGCGGAUUUCGGUAUGGCCAGGGAUAUUUAUCGAGGCGAUUAUUAUAGGAAAGAUGGCAAGGCGAUAGUGCCCAUAAAAUGGAUGCCACCCGAGAGCUUCUUGGACGGUAUAUUCACCACAAAGACCGAUGUCUGGUCGUUUGGCGUGCUCCUAUGGGAGAUUAUGUCAUUCGGAUAUAUGCCCUACACCGGGUGUGGAAAUCUCGAAGUCAUGACAAUGGUAAAGUCCGGCGGGCGCCUUGAGAAGCCUGUGGGAUGUCCAGACCCUAUAUACGGAAUCAUGAUGCGGUGUUGGCAUCCACAGCCUGACGAUAGACCAAGUUUCGCCACUAUUGUCGAGAGGAUCGGCUACUGUUUGCAGGAUCCUGAUGUGAUAAAUCUACCCCCGCCUAAUUUCAAUGUGAUGUCAAUCUACGAUCCUGAAAUGAUCAUGAGAGCAGACUCAGAAGCGGAAUGCAAUAACGUACAAUCUGAUACGGACGGCGGCUACCUGCAACCGAGAGUCAUCGAUCCACGAUCCGUUGCACGUCGCGUAGAUCAAGCUAUGGGUGGCGUCUACGAUUCCGAGAAUGAAAAAUCAAUCGAAGACUGCAAGUUGUACGGCGGGUCUUACGUGAAAUCAGCGGGAUGUCGAAAAGAUAUGUACAAUUGCAACAAGUAUGACUCUAGCACAGAUACCUUUGAGCAAACGUAUAGCAAUGAAGAGCAUGAAGAGGUGACCAAAGAGUGCAAGGAUAAAAGUAUAGCCGAUCGAUCGAAUCGACAAAAAAAUAGGACGAUACAUCGAACCAUGGACAUCGAAGACAAUGUAGACAAUGGCAACAACCGACCAGAGGAUGAAUGUCAUAUGACUGCCAACAUCGAUAGCACGAUAACGGAUCGCAAAAACGGUAAUGAAAGCACAACGACUACUGACACCAAUUCGGACUCUCUGAUAGCACAAUCCUCGGACACUCCGCCCGAUACGACGACGAAUUCGUCGCCCAACACGCGCACUUGCUCACCAAGUCACACCAUCGGCCUCAACGCCAACGUCAGUAAUGUAAACGGUAUGGUGAAGAAGAAUACACUGAAGGCAACCCUGAGCCUGGACCCAAGCGCGCUCUGCAGGGGCAUCCCUUACGAGAAGAUCACAACGCGAACGCAACACUCGAGCACGCCGGGCAGUACGGAACUAAGGAAGGUAACUUGACCUCCCCCCUACAUCCGGCGUCCUGCACAGUUUCCAUCUGUACUUGAUCGUGGUCCUUGAUCGAAGAGCUCCUUGAGUCACGAGCUGCCGAGGGAGGAAGAAUGCUCUUGCUGAGAUUUAUCCGAGGGGGGUUGACGAGGCUGCCCGGCCGCGCUUGGCUGCAAAGUCGCUCGUCGAUUGCAGCUGCAACGAUCGGCCACAACGACAGCAAUUAUGAGGGAUGCGCAGCUCGUAGAACUCUCCUCGCCUUCGUGGACACAGGAUAACGAAUACUCGCGUCGUUACUAUUCCGAGGAGACCCUUCUGUGAAUGGAAAUCGAGGAAAACCGCGAAUUCCUCUUCACGGGCGAUGCUUCAUUGCUAAAGACACACGACCAUCGCAAAUCGAAAGAAAAGAGAUUGUGUGCAAACGUAUACAAAACAAAAAAAAGGAGUAUGUACAUACGGAAGGAAAGAAAAAUACUAAAUACGUAACAUAUUAAUUCAAUACGUUAAGCGUUGCGCGUGCUACACAUUCACAUCUCUUAUCCAAAGUGAUCUCGAGUAAACUUUCUAAUUUCGCGAUAGCGAUAGGGCAGGAAUUUGUAAAAUUAUCGUAAUCACUCGUUAACGGGAAUCUUCGAGUGCGAAUCAGAAUGACAUAGCAGCUCGUGAAUUUAACGUUAAGAAUGUAAACGUGUAUUUGGAAAUUGGAAAAUGUUUUUGCAGUGUGUAUAUAUAUAUAUAUACACUGACAUUUAAAAAAAUCUAAGAAGCGCAAGUAGUCUCGUCUUCGACGUAAAGUAAACCCCUAAGUCGGAGACAAUACGGUCCUAUCUGUCUUAAGGAUCCCAACUGGAUUGAUACGGAUGUGAAGGGGAUUAAGGCUAUCGAGUAAAACGUUACUGUAAUAUCGAUGUAAAAAUCUCCGUAGGCUGAUCGUCUACCUCGUGACUCAUCUUUCAAACCAAAAAAAAAGAGGCAAUGACGUGAACUUGAACCUCAUUGGUACUACCGCACUAUCGCGCUAAUAAAGCGAUGAAAGCGAUGAAUGCUUGGAAAUGGGUAGCGGGGAGAGAAGGGAAUAAAAAGAGCACGAGCCCUUUUUUAUUUUUCUUACAACGACGACGUACUUUACGUGCGCGUAGCGUAUGAAAGUCAGCCACUAUGUAUCUGUACGUGAAACGUAAUAAAGGCGUGUGUUUAUGGAA
Monomorium pharaonis (pharaoh ant) is the source of this 6867-nucleotide RNA transcript. It is a transcript of the gene named ALK tyrosine kinase receptor, with no coding region annotated. Lineage: Eukaryota; Metazoa; Arthropoda; Insecta; Hymenoptera; Formicidae. The transcript has 25 exons. The record is from RefSeq and is a predicted model, not a curated record.